Molecule: ribosomal RNA, 134 nt
Filed under: uncultured eukaryote
Lineage: Eukaryota
Description: partial small subunit ribosomal RNA
Rfam family: Eukaryotic small subunit ribosomal RNA
Source: RNAcentral
CCCUGCCAUUUGUACACACCGCCCGUCGCUCCUACCGAUUGAAUGUGUUGGUGAGGAGUUCGGAUUGGCAGUUUGUGGUGGUUCGCCACUGCUUACAGCUGAGAAGUUCUCCAAACCGCCCCAUUUAGAGGAAG